UACUGAUGCUUGGGAAGGUCUGAGGAAGUCGCACUCUCUAAGAGGGAAAGGAAGGAAACUUCUUACUUCCAGACCAGAAAAUACACUCCUAUGAUACGGAAUAAUGUACAAGAA
Molecule: non-coding RNA, 114 nt
Filed under: uncultured marine Prymnesiales
Lineage: Eukaryota; Haptophyta; Prymnesiales
Source: RNAcentral